UUAAAAAGCUCGUAGUUGAACCUUGGGCCUGGCUGGCCGGUCCGCCUCACCGCGUGCACUGUGCCGGCCGGGCCUUUCCCUCUGUGGAACCUCAUGCCCUUCACUGGGUGUGGCGGGGAAACAGGACUUUUACUUUGAAAAAAUUAGAGUGCUCCAGGCAGGCCUAUGCUCGAAUACAUUAGCAUGGAAUAAUAAAAUAGGACGCGUGGUUCUAUUUUGUUGGUUUCUAGGACCGCCGUAAUGAUUAAUAGGGACAGUCGGGGG
This 264-nucleotide ribosomal RNA is filed under the name uncultured Ascomycota. Its description in RNAcentral is "partial 18S ribosomal RNA". It matches the Rfam family "Eukaryotic small subunit ribosomal RNA", at positions 619 to 888 of the family's 1831-position model. The record is from RNAcentral. Lineage: Eukaryota; Fungi; Ascomycota.